CUAACGAGGAUUCCCCUAGUAACUGCGAGUGAAGCGGGAAGAGCUCAAAUUUUGAAUCUGGUGGUCUCUGGCCAUCCGAGUUGUAAUCUAGAGAAGCGUCUUCCGUGUCGGACCGUGUACAAGUCUCCUGGAAGGGAGCAUCGUAGAGGGUGACAAUCCCGUCUUUGACACGGACCGCCGGCGCUAUGCGAUGCGCUCUCGACGAGUCGAGUUGUUUGGGAAUGCAGCUCCAAAUGGGUGGUAAACUUCCAUCUAAAGCUAAAUACUGGCGAGAGACCGAUAGUGAACAAGUACCGUGAGGGAAAGAUGAAAAGGACUUUUGGAAAGAGAGUCAAACCAGUUAUGUGAAAUCGCUGGAAGGGAAACGCUCAAAGUCAGUCGCGUCCCCCGGGGAUCAACCUUGCGAUGCAUCGCAUCGCUGGGCGUACUUCCUGGUUGGGAUGGGUCAGCAUCGAUCUCGGUCGUGGUAGAAGGGCGAGAGUGAAAGUGGCACUCUCCGGAGUGUGUUACAGCCUCUCGCAUGGGAUGCGACGACGUUGGGAUCGAGGAACUCGGCACGACCCUCUCGGUGGGGUUCGGGGCUCUGGCUCACGUUCGCGUGCCCAGGAUGCUGGCAUAAUGGCUUGGAGCGACCCGUCUUGAAACACGGACCAAGGAGUCCAACGUGCGUGCGAGUGUUCGGGUGGCAAACCCGUGCGCGAAAUGAAGGUGAAAGUCGAGACCUCUGUCAUGGAGGGCAUCGACGCCCGGACCUGAGCCUAUGGCAAGGGAUCCGCGGUGGAGCACAUACGUUGGGACCCGAAAGAUGGUGAACUAUGCCUGAAUAGGGCGAAGCCAGAGGAAACUCUGGUGGAGGCUCGUAGCGAUUCUGACGUGCAAAUCGAUCGUCGAAUUCGGGUAUAGGGGCGAAAGACUAAUCGAACCAUCUAGUAGCUGGUUCCUGCCGAAGUUUCCCUCAGGAUAGCAGAAGCUCGAGAGUCAGAUUUAUGUGGUAAAGCGAAUGAUUAAGAGGUCUUGGGGUCGAAACGACCUUAACCUAUUCUCAAACUUUGAAUGUGUAAAGAACGGGUGGUCGCUUGGAUGGACCGCUCGGUGAUUGAGAGCUUCUAGUGGGCCAUUUUUGGUAAGCAGAACUGGCGAUGCGGGAUGAACCGAACCGGGAGGUUAAGGUGCCGGAGUACACGCUCAUCAGACACCCACGAAAGGUGUUAGUUCAUCCAGACAGCAGGACGGUGGCCAUGGAAGUCGGAAUCCGCUAAGGAGUGUGUAACAACUCACCUGCCGAAUGAACUAGCCCUGAAAAUGGAUGGCGCUCAAGCGUGUCACCCAUACCUCCCCGUCGGCGUCGGACCUUGACGCGCUGACGAGUAGGCAGGCGUGGAGGUUGUGAAGAAGCCUCGACAG
Molecule: ribosomal RNA, 1404 nt
Filed under: Gyroporus austrobrasiliensis
Lineage: Eukaryota; Fungi; Basidiomycota; Agaricomycetes; Boletales; Gyroporaceae
Description: LSU rRNA
Rfam family: Eukaryotic large subunit ribosomal RNA
Source: RNAcentral